UCGGGUGUCCCACAGCCUCCCUCAGCCUCCCACACAGGGGAGGUGUUCCACCCCUCGGUGGCACUCAGCUCACCCCCUCCAUCGUGGCACCUGCAGACAAACGGCAGGGCACAGCUGGGGCUACAGGGACGGGAAUGCAGACUGGGAGGGGAAUCAGGGAGCCGCCAUAGACAAAGCUGAUGGCCCCAGCCGGGCUGUGCCACAUCUCCCUGCUGGGCGCUCACAGGCACAGAGGAGAAGGAACAAGAGCAAUUCUUCCUCCUAUCAAAUUAUCUGCAAAACCCAACCGUGACUCAUCCAGCCCCGGGACACCUGGGAUGCCCAGGAAGGUGUUGUGUGAGUUCCCGUACCAGACCAGCAGCUCUUGAUCCGGAGGGAUCAUCUAGAGAAGGACACACAGAUGAGGGUGUUGGGAUGGCACACCAAGCAGCUCUACCCGCAUCCUCAGCCGGUUGUUUCAGACUCCUGCAAGGUCCCACUGCCAUCGGCACUGCUGAAUGCCCCCAGCACUCCCCAGGAGAGGAGGCAGGCACAGCGCUGCGCACGCUGACAGUGAUGGCAUCACUCAGCACCAUGUACUGCUGGCACUGAGCUGCACCUCGAUCUUCCCCAGGUCCAGGAGCGGGAAAGGAAGCAGCAGUGGGGCACAGAUCCUGCACAUCCCCAUAGCUCAAGGAGACGGAGGUGUGGCUGCACACACAGACACGUAGGAAUAAGCUAUUGCGUACCCACAAACUGCAGCAAGGUGCAGGGAGCAAUGACACAGAGAUGGGAUUUGGUGCCAUGCACAGUGCAUGGAGCCCUCGGCACUCCCUGUUGCAGGACACAGCAGCAUCUCCCACCCCAGCAGGGUUAUUCCCCAGCAGUGCAAAUUCAGGUAGAAAUACAGAUGCAGCCAUGGGCUCGGAGAGCUUAGGGAAGCAGCCGAGAUCCCAGCGGCUGCUGCAGGAGAGCAUGGUCCAGGCAUGAGAUGCUGCCUCCUCCAAAGCCCCAUUGCCUACACCAGCCCAGAGAGCAGGAAGGGCUUUUCUAUCGGCACUGCUCCUGUUCCUAUGGGAUGAUGGCACUCCUCCCACCCUUGAUGUUUGGGUUCUGGUUCCGCACUGCAGUGAGAGCAGCCAGGAACAGCGCCCGAGCAGCUCCUGCAGCACAGCCACGGCCAGAGGAUGGAUGUGCUCACACCACAGCAGCCGUAUAAGGCAACGCU
Molecule: long non-coding RNA, 1207 nt
Filed under: Gallus gallus (chicken)
Lineage: Eukaryota; Metazoa; Chordata; Aves; Galliformes; Phasianidae
Description: long non-coding RNA NONGGAT003109
Source: RNAcentral